AGAACCGGCCUAGCGUUCGGA
Molecule: microRNA, 21 nt
Filed under: Panine betaherpesvirus 2 (Chimpanzee cytomegalovirus)
Lineage: Duplodnaviria; Heunggongvirae; Peploviricota; Herviviricetes; Herpesvirales; Orthoherpesviridae
Description: miR-US25-1-3p
Source: RNAcentral